Molecule: ribosomal RNA, 1420 nt
Filed under: uncultured Bordetella sp.
Lineage: Bacteria; Pseudomonadati; Pseudomonadota; Betaproteobacteria; Burkholderiales; Alcaligenaceae
Description: partial 16S-23S ribosomal RNA intergenic spacer
Rfam family: Bacterial small subunit ribosomal RNA
Source: RNAcentral
GGUUCGAUUAUGGUCAGAUUUUCGAACGCUGGCGGGAUGUUUACAUGCGGGUGCCGAACGGCAGCACGGACUUCGGUCUGGUGGCGAGUGGCGGUCGGUGAGUAAAUAUCGAACGUGCCUAGUAGCGGGGAUAACUACGCGAAAGCGUAGCUAAUACCGUGCGCCAUACUGCUCCCCGGGGGAAAGCGGGGGACUUCUGGCCUUCGCACUAUUAGAGCGGCUGAUAUCGAUUAGCGGUUGGUGGGCAACGCCCAUUAAGGCGACGAUCCAGCUGGUUUGAGAGGACGACCAGCCACACUGGGAUCGACACGGCCCAGACUCCUACGGAGGCAGCAGGGCUGGAUACUGAAACUGAUCCAGCCAUCCCGCGUGGCGGAAGGCCUCGGGUUGUAAAGCACUUUCGCAGAGAAACGGCACGUAUACUACCCGUGCAACUGACGGCACUGCAGAAUAAGCACUGGCUAACUACGUACCAGCAGCCGCGGGUAAUGCUGUAGGGUGCACGUUAAUCGGAAUUACUGGCGUAAAGGCGCAGGUUCGAAAGAAAGAUGUGAAAUCCCAGAGCUAACUGAACCAUUUAACUACCGAGCCAGAGGUACAGAGGGAGGUGGAAUUCUGCGUGAGCAGUGAAAUGCGUAGAUAUGCGGAGGAACACCGAUGGCGAAGGCAGCCUCCUGGGAUAACACUGACGCUCAUGCACGAAAGCGUGGGGAGCAACAGGAUUAGAUAACGGUAGUCCACGCCCUAAACGAUGUCAACUAGCUGUUAGCCCUGGCUCGUAGUAUGCAGCUAACGCGGGUAAGUUGACCGCCCGGGGAGUACGGUCGCAAGAUUAAAACUCCCAAGAAUUGAUGGAACGCACAAGCGUGGAUAUGGACCACUCCGAUGCAACGCGAAAACCUUACCUUAUCCUUGACAUGUCUGGAACCCGAAGAGAUUUGGGAGUGCUGCAAGAGAAACCGAACAGGUGCUGCGAUGGCUGUCGUCAGUCGUGUCGUGAUGGGUUAAGUCCCGCAACGAGCGCAACCUUGUCAUUAGUUGCUACGAAAGGGCACUCUAUCGAGACUGGUGACAAACUGGAGGAAGGUGGGGAGAUGACGUCAAGUCCUCAUGGCCCUUAUGGGUAGGGCUUCACACGUCAUACAAUGGUCGGGACAGAGGUCGCCAACCCGCGAGGGGGAGCGCCAAUCCCAGAAACCCGAUCGUAGUCCGCCGGAUCGCAGUCUGCAACUCGACUGUGUGAAGUCGGAAUCGCUAGUAAUCGCGGAUCAGCAUGGGUCGCGGUGAAUACGUUCCCGGGUCUUGUACACACCGCCCGUCACACCAUGGGAGUGGGUUUUACCAGAAGUAGUUAUCAACCGUAAGGAGGGCGAUUACCACGGUAGGAUUCAUGACUGGGGUGAAGUCGUAACAAUGUAAC